This is a non-coding RNA of Anolis sagrei ordinatus, 266 nucleotides long. The record is from RefSeq and is a predicted model, not a curated record. Lineage: Eukaryota; Metazoa; Chordata; Lepidosauria; Squamata; Anolidae.
AGCGUCGGGUGCCUUUCCUUCGGCGGAGGAAGUGGAGGAACGGAGCCGUUUCUUCUGAUUAUGACUUAUGAAAGGCUGGGUAAAGAUCUAAACCCUGAUCUCCCCAAGUCUUGUCCAGCAGCCGAACCAGCAACACAACAGGCCAGUAUUAUUAUAUUUACAUGUUAUUGCAUUAACACAUUACUAAUACCUUGUACAUACCUAGUAAAAUCCCUUGAAAUUUCUGAUAAAGGGACUCCCAAUACCAUUUGGUAAUCAAAUGAAAA